This 97-nucleotide ribosomal RNA is filed under the name Triportheus guentheri. The record is from RNAcentral. Lineage: Eukaryota; Metazoa; Chordata; Actinopteri; Characiformes; Triportheidae.
UACGCCCGAUCUCGUCCGAUCUCGGAAGCUAAGCAGGGUCGGGCCUGGUUAGUACUUGCAUGGAAGACCGCCUGGGAAUACCAGGUGCUGUAAGCUU